UUCUUGGGGGCUGGGUGAGCGCAUGUGCGGGAGAAUAGGGGCGGGCGUUUGGGUGGGAGAUUAUGUCCCUGAGGGCGGGGCCAGGCUCCAUACUUCCGGCAGCUUGUCUGGCCUAUGGAGGUUUCGUCUCUGUGGUUUAGUCGGUUCGACAAAGGGGCCUCGAAGUGACCGGAACUUAGUGAGCCGCCAUUGAAAUCCAGAUUGCUGUGAGCUCGGGGGGGGGGGGGCACUAACUGUGGGGGCAUUGCCCCGGGGGGAGAGACGCCAACUGCGAACCGACCCAGAGCAAUGGCGGCGUAAAUUUUCCCUAUGCUGCCCUCAUGACGCCGCUGUUGAAGGAGACUGUAAUUGGCUUCAACUUUCUGAAGGGGAGUUGAAUUUCUAAAGAAGUUUGGGGAAAUGCUGAGAGAGAGUUUUCUGCCAUAUUUUUAUGUGUUUAUCAUUUAACAAUGGCACUGCUUUACAGAAUGGACAGGCACAUUCCCUCUACUGAAGAGCUGACAGGCAAAUGUGAUCUAUUGGAUGAUAUUGGAACUAGUACCCAUAAAAACCUCAAUCCUGUUCUGGAGAGUGAGCAUAAAGACCUCCACACUCCUGAUCUUUGUAUUAUUAUACAGUACAGAAUGUGUGAACCAGUUCCUCCAUGUAACCAAGAGAACCUGCUUUUUACAUGAAGCAAUGUUUACAAGAGAGGAGCACUUCUAUCUUACUAUCAGUAACUGAACACUGACAGUUAAUAAUGGUUGGAGUUCUUGCUCUGAAAAGUGGAACAGAGCCAUAAUUCUUAUGCUAUCUCAGUUUAGGUGCAAAAUAUAAAUAUUGGUCUUAGACCCAUCUGUUCACAGUUCAAAUUGAUUUCAGUAGAAAUCCUGUGCAUGGGUGAUGGCAGUGUAUUUUUUGUUUUGUUUUGUAUAACAGUCCCUACCCAAAGUAACUGUGAUAGUCGCUUGUCCAUACUUCAUUCUUUUUGGACUGCAACAAACAUUACAAUGAGUAACAUUUUACAUUCACUUUCAUUUAUAUCCAGAUCUGAAGAUUUUGCUUGGCUACUCAGAUGUCUUUAGAAUUUCUUUGAAGACAGGUGUGGCAAGUUACAGUUUUGGCUGUUAAAAUGUAUGGUAAAGUGCCAUUACCUCAUAUCUUUCUGGGGGCUCUGCUUGGAGUUGCAGGAGGAUUCUACAUCUAUAAACCAAUAUUUGAACAAUAUCACAGAAAACAGAAUAAAUUAAAAGAAACGCUGCAAGCACCACAACUAGAAGAGAAGAAAGAAUAGCAGGGAUUACAUGGAGCUGCUUGGGGAUAUUGGCUUAGACACUGUAAACUUUUGUUCUGACAUAAAAACAAAAUAACCUAUUUUAUUCUUCAAAAUGAAACUGGUUUGUCUUGGUGAAGAAUAAAUAUGCUUUUUAAUUAAUGUAAA
This is an RNA transcript of Dermochelys coriacea (leatherback sea turtle), 1420 nucleotides long. It is a transcript of the gene named PIGB opposite strand 1, with no coding region annotated. NCBI's taxonomy places the organism in Eukaryota, Metazoa, Chordata, Testudines, Dermochelyidae. The record is from RefSeq and is a predicted model, not a curated record. The transcript has 2 exons.